This 268-nucleotide long non-coding RNA is filed under the name Hordeum vulgare. RNAcentral's name for it is "long non-coding RNA (HVUL_LNC013329)". Lineage: Eukaryota; Viridiplantae; Streptophyta; Magnoliopsida; Poales; Poaceae. The record is from RNAcentral.
ACCGAGUUCGCAAAUUCAUCGACGGUCGAUCUUUCGCUAACUUUGGUUCAACGCGUCCAUUUUUAGUUAGGUACUUAAACCAACUCUAAUCGGACGAUUCAAACGGACAUCAGUUUCAUAUAUGUUUUUUGUCCGUUUGGGCUCGUCUUUAUUUACUUUUUGUUUAGAAUUGUAUGUGCAUCUAAUGAGAUGGACGUUGCAUUUUCUGACAUGUCCAUUACACAUUCGGUGGAACAUUUGGUGAAUGAGCUGCCGCACUGCAGCUCCC